Molecule: transfer RNA, 63 nt
Filed under: Holostephanus sp. FJ-2023
Lineage: Eukaryota; Metazoa; Platyhelminthes; Trematoda; Diplostomida; Cyathocotylidae
Description: tRNA-Val
Source: RNAcentral
GGCAAAGUAGUUUAAUAAAAAUGUCUAUUUUACACGUAGGAGUUAGGUUUAUCCUUAUUGUCA